This 795-nucleotide ribosomal RNA is filed under the name uncultured marine thaumarchaeote. RNAcentral's name for it is "bacterial SSU rRNA". It matches the Rfam family "Archaeal small subunit ribosomal RNA", at positions 83 to 879 of the family's 1478-position model. The record is from RNAcentral. Lineage: Archaea; Thermoproteati; Nitrososphaerota.
CGGCUGCUCAGUAACACGUAGUCAACCUAACCUAUGGACGGGAAUAACCUCGGGAAACUGAGAAUAAUGCCCGAUAGAACACUAUACCUGGAAUGGUUUGUGUUCCAAAUGAUUUAUCGCCGUAGGAUGGGACUGCGGCCUAUCAGUUUGUUGGUGAGGUAAUGGCCCACCAAGACUAUUACAGGUACGGGCUCUGAGAGGAGUAGCCCGGAGAUGGGUACUGAGGCACGGACCCAGGCCCUAUGGGGCGCAGCAGGCGAGAAAACUUUGCAAUGUGCGAAAGCACGACAAGGUUAAUCCGAGUGGUUUCUGCUAAAGGAACCUUUUGUUAGUCCUAGAAACACUAACGAAUAAGGGGUGGGCAAGUUCUGGUGUCAGCCGCCGCGGUAAAACCAGCACCUCAAGUGGUCAGGAUGAUUAUUGGGCCUAAAGCAUCCGUAGCCGGCUCUGUAAGUUUUCGGUUAAAUCUGUACGCUCAACGUACAGGCUGCCGGGAAUACUGCAGAGCUAGGGAGUGGGAGAGGUAGACGGUACUCGGGAGGAAGUGGUAAAAUGCUUUGAUCUCUCGAUGACCACCUGUGGCGAAGGCGGUCCACCAGAACACGUCCGACGGUGAGGGAUGAAAGCUGGGGGAGCAAACCGGAUUAGAUACCCGGGUAGUCCCAGCUGUAAACUAUGCAAACUCAGUGAUGCAUUGGCUUGUGGCCAAUGCAGUAUUGCAGGGAAGCCGUUAAGUUUGCCGCCUGGGAGGUACGUACGCAAGUAUGAAACUUAAAGGAAUUGGCGGGGGAGCAG